Non-coding RNA from Paramuricea clavata, 1202 nucleotides. The record is from the annotation of a GenBank genome assembly. Lineage: Eukaryota; Metazoa; Cnidaria; Anthozoa; Malacalcyonacea; Plexauridae.
AUUAUAUUUUCAUUUCUUGUAAUGGAAUUUUAUAUCUUGUUAUGUUUUAAUUGUUCUGGGUUCGUUUGUGAUUAAGCAGAGUUGUUAUGUAUUAUGUAUGACUAGAAAUUCUGGCUACACCACUGGCAUUAUCAGAUGCGGCUCGGCUAACCUGAGUAUCAGUCUCUAUUUUACAAAUAGAGCCUGACACAAAACUUAACCUGAUCGCUUUCCGCCCACAGCAAAGUUUAUAUUUAGUAUCCAAUCAAAAUGUCGCAGGAGAAAUUUAAAUUUCACACAACGGCAACAACAAUCUAAUUAUAGCAUAGGCGCCCACUAAACGGCUGAAUUUAAAUUAAAACUGCAAUGAACUUAUAAAAUUAACAAAAAUAAUCACAAAUUAGCGAAAUAUAUUGCAAAUGUAGCUUAUAUUAAAUCGCCACCCGACUGCUCUCUCCUCCGCAGAGAUAUUACUUUAGAAGUAUACUUUAUAACUAUACGUCAGUCGAUAGUGCAAUCUGAUGGCGAUUUAAUAUAAGCUACAUUUGCAAUAUAUUUCGCUAAUUUGCGAUUAUUUUCUAAUUUUACUGCAGUUUUAAUUUAAAUUCAGCCGUUUAGUUGGCCGGCUAUAAUUGUAAUUGUGAUCAUUAUAAAAUAUAUCAACAACAAUAGUAUAAUCUAAUUAGCACCAGCCAAUCAAUUGACAGAUUUAAAAAUCGUUUGUCUAAUCGGCCAAUCAGCGCUCAGUCCAGAUUCUGGACUGAACAACCAGGCAAAAUGCCACUUUUGUGUCAGGCCGUACUUUUCUCCCCUUCGCCCACGAUCAGGCGUGCCUGUGCCCUAAAAAGUACGGCCUGAUACUCAGGUUACGGCUCGGCAUUAAUUUCACUGAAGUAGUUUCCGUGCAAGAAAGGGCGCGAGGAACACGAAACCAUAAUACUAUUAAUAGGCAGCUUCUGUAUAAAGGCUUGUUUCCACUCAGGAAAUUUAUCCGUGGAUUGGAACGGACAAGAAAGUUUUUCUUUGUCUUGUGAGCUCUGGGUUGGAACUAAUGACUUUAACACAAAGAAAAAUUUUCUUGUCCGUUCCAAUCCACGGAUAAUAUUCCAGAGUGGAAACUAGCCUUAACACAAUAACCAGAAUUUAGUCCUGUUUCAAACGUCGCGCUUUCUCAUGUGCCGAACGCAUUAAAAACAAUAGAUAAUCGGCUGACAUGCCUCAUU